UGUACGCGGNAGAACUAACAGGAUCCCCAUAGUAAUGGCGAAUGAGCAGGGAUGAGCUCAGCAUGGAAAUUGGGGCCUGCGGCCUUGACUUGUAAGCUGGUGAGGUAUUGCCAACAGAGGCGCAGAUGUAAGUCUCUUGGAAAAGAGCAUCAAUGAGGGUGAGAGUCCUGCUUGCCAUGUGCAGCCCCCCCCCCUGUGCACGGUGUACCUACUAAGAGUCACGUUCCUCGGGAUUGGAGCGCAAAGUGGGUGGUAACUUUCAUCUGAAGCUAAAUAUUGGUUUGAGACCGAUAGGAAACAAAUACCAUGAGGGAAAGGUGAAAAGGACUUUGGAAAGAGAGUUAAAAGUGCCUGAAAUUGCUGAAUGGGAAGCGAAUGGAACCAGUGUUUCCUGGUGAGAUUGUCAUAUGCUAUAAUGAUUGGUUGCUGCUUCAGCGCAAGCGUUCUGGUAAGCAUUGAUCUGUAAGUGUGUGGUGUGUCUUGCCUUGAAUGUCAUCGUGGGCUUCUGCAUUAAGACAAUUCACAGUUCAGGGUAAUAUGUUCGUGAAGGUAUGAAUGUGCUGUGCUAUGUUUAUGCAUAAGCUUCCUCUUGCAUGUCUGGCUGCCGUGCUUUGCCCCCAACCUUGGGGAAUGAGCAUAUCCUUCUGCACAGAUGAUGACUAAAUGAUNAUCGCCG
RNAcentral lists this ribosomal RNA (676 nucleotides) under Phalacroma doryphorum. RNAcentral describes it as "LSU rRNA". It matches the Rfam family "Eukaryotic large subunit ribosomal RNA", at positions 45 to 646 of the family's 3401-position model. The record is from RNAcentral. Lineage: Eukaryota; Dinophyceae; Dinophysales; Dinophysaceae.